This 422-nucleotide ribosomal RNA is filed under the name uncultured bacterium. RNAcentral's name for it is "partial 16S ribosomal RNA". It matches the Rfam family "Bacterial small subunit ribosomal RNA", at positions 362 to 776 of the family's 1533-position model. The record is from RNAcentral.
UCUUCCACAAUGGACGAAAGUCUGAUGGAGCAACGCCGCGUGAGUGAUGAAGGGUUUCGGCUNGUAAAACUCUGUUGUUGGAGAANNCCNNNUNUCAGAGUAACUGUUGACAUCGUGACGGUAUCCAACCNNNANGNCACGGCUAACUACGUGUCAGCAGCCGCGGUAAUACGUAGGUGGCAAGCGUUGUCCGGAUUUAUUGGGCGUAAAGCGAGCGCAGGCGGUUUUUUAGGUCUGAUGUGAAAGCCUUCGGCUUAACCGGAGAAGUGCAUCGGAAACCGGGAGACUUGAGUGCAGAAGAGGACAGUGGAACCCCAUGUGUAGCGGUGAAAUGCGUAGAUAUAUGGAAGAACACCAGUGGCGAAGGCGGCUGUCUGGUCUGCAACUGACGCUGAGGCUCGAAAGCAUGGGUAGCGAACAGG